GGAAUCCUAAAAUAGGCCAUGGAAGAUGGAGAGAUCGAUUUUUGGUUCAGGUCUAAACUUCUGAAUUCCUCAUUUCCAUCUCAGAGAUCGGUAAAUCUCUCUCUCUCUCUCUCUCUCUCUCUCUCUCCGUAAUUUCAUCUCAGAAUCGAUUUUCUAUUUUAUCUUUUAUUGGAUUUUCAAAUGCUCCUAAAUUUUCUGCAGUACGUUUAGGUUUUUAAACCUAGCUUUUCUAAAUUCUAGAUCUGAAGCAGAUUCCAAUGUUUUCGAUCCAUACUUGCAUUCGAAAGCAGAAAAUCAUAGAUCUCUCUCUGCAUAUCAUUGCAAAAAUCUGUAAUAAUCUAAAAUUGUUCUCUUUUUGAUUUUUUUUAAAAUAAUUCCUUCAAUUCAAUGCAAGCAAAACAUGUAUUGUCAAGCCCCGAUUGCCUACAAGUGGACCCCACAUUUUGUUGAUCUAGCAAUUCAUUUGGUGGGCCUCGAAUUAGAUGGAUAAGGCAAUGAUCCACAUUCAAUACUCAAUUGGUAAAGGUGAAAGAUGGUUGGGAUCUUUCUGUAUAGAUGACCUUUAAGGAUCAUCAGAUCAACUACCUAGAUCACCGAACUACGGGCUCCACCUGGAGGAACUUAGUGCCCAUGAUUCUCAACUGAGGAUACACUAGCAGUUUGGUGAUCUAGGCCUUUAAUCUUAUGGUGGUCCAUGAUCCACAAACCUCCUUGGUAAUCCUAACCAUUGAACAUGUGGCCUGCAAAUAGAGAGCUUAGUAAGGAAACCGAAGCAUCAAUAUGUGUCAACAGAAGAACUGGUGUUUUGUUGAAUUAUGAUAUGUUAUGUAUGUUGUCUUAAGUAAUUUCUAAGUGCCUGUACAUCAUCCAUCAUACUCUGCCAGACUAAGAGUUUUUCUCUUUCUUCAUUUAUCUGUUUGUUUUGCAAAAUACUAUUGAUAUGGGUUCCAUUUGAUAGACCAUUAUAAAAUCCAAAGCAGAUGGAUGUUAUAUUAUUUGUAUUUUUGCUUAAAUUGAUGUGUUCAACCAAAAAUGGGGUCUCUGUAGGUACGUUAAGUUAAAACUCCCAAUUCUUUUGGUGCAUAAUCUCCUACUUUAUUUUAUUUUUAUUUCUUCGUGCACCUGUUGCAUUUGAAUGAGUCAAGUUGAGAUUUCUGUAAAUGGACAAAAGUUGCAUUUAAACCAUAGAAGUAGAAGUCUCUAAGAAGGUUGUCACAUUCAUACCUUGGCAGGCAUAUCUAUUUAAUGGCUACUGGGAACAUAUUCCAAGACUGAAUUUUUAAAAUUUUAUUUUUCAUGUCAUGUGAUGGAAGAGCUCCUGAAGGAACUCAAGAAAGGAGAGAAAAAGGCUAGAAUAGUUGCUGACUUUGAUUUGGAUCCAUACAUGAAUGUGGUCUACUGUUUGCUUCCUUUUAUUCUAGAGGUGGUUAGAAAGUUAGUUUCUAUUGGCAAUGAUUAAAAGCUACAGUUAAUUUUGAUAGGCAAUAACAGUCGAUUCGAGCUCAAAAUGAGAAUGAACCCCUUCAAAUGGAGUUCAAAAUAGCAACAUAUUAAGGGGAAAGGAAGUACGUUUUGUGUUGGUGGUGAUGUUCUAAAUAUGGCCUAUUUCGUAAUCACCAGUAGAUGUCUCUUCUCUAGCCUGCGAUAAAUCCUUUACUGACAAGAUAUAAUACAUUACAAUAGAUUUUUUUUGGUGAUAUUAAGUCAAUGUACCGAACGUUUUAUGAAACUUAGUUUUGGAUCUUUGUUUGA
Molecule: long non-coding RNA, 1752 nt
Organism: Magnolia sinica
Lineage: Eukaryota; Viridiplantae; Streptophyta; Magnoliopsida; Magnoliales; Magnoliaceae
Exons: 3
Source: RefSeq, a predicted model, not a curated record